UCUUUGUUUAAGUUGUUCGCUAUCUUUAUUGGCAAUUUGGCAUCCUUGGAGCAGCAAUCCUUAACUUCAUUUUUACCAAUUUUUGAUAUAUCCAUAACAAACGCAUGUAUCAGUACGAUGUAAAAAAUACGUUACUGCGCAUACCACUUCACUCAGGGUUUACCAGAGAACCGUUAACAGUAGUUAGAAGUAGCGAUACGAAAGAUAAACGAAUUGGCGACAUCCUGACCAUUCACAGUAAGAUUUGUUCCUCGCUGAUGCAUUCCUAAAAAGUUUGCACUUAAAAGCUUUAUGUGAAAAAAGUCUCCACCAUAUCAUUUGUUGAAUUUCACGAUUGUGUUUCCACGAACCUCAUGAUGUGCUAAUGAAAAAAAGCCAAUAAAUCAUCACAUCUUUCUGAAUAAAAGUGGCAACAAUUAGAAAGGCUUGACUUUUCGAAGAUCCACUAUCCUAACUUGCAGCGACAACAUGUCUCGAUGGAAUCGAAGAACCAUGAAAAAAUAAAUACCCUAAUACAUAUGUUUAGAAAAUUCUAAUCAUACCAUAAUUUUUAUUACUUAUUAGUGCAUAUAUGUGAGUAUUGUUACUCACAUAGAAAUAAGAGUAAUUUUAUUCUUAUGAACCCAUGUUAUAAAACAUUCUUCCAAAAAUUACAUUCAGAGUUUUCCUUUUCGAUUCACCAAAUGGAAAAAUUUCAUUUUUGCAAUAUAUGGACAGCAGCAUUUUAAUUGCAUUCACCGUGAAAAUUUUACUGUCAACCUUUAAUUAAAGAGGAGGCUCGUUCUCUAGACAUGCAGACAGAAGUGCUUUAAAACCGCAAUUUUCUCUUUCGCCUUAUUAUGGAGAAACCAUAUGCUUGCAAAUUUUGUGGUAUUUUUUCGGUUUCCCAAUUUAAAGAAACGUUUAGUGAUGCAUUCAAAAGAGAAACCGUAUUCAUGUGACAUUUUAAGUGAAGCAUUUUUUCAACAGUCUCAUUUAAAAAUUCAUUUAAUGUCGCAUAUGAAUGAGGAAUCCCACCCUUGCAACUUUUGCAACAAAGUCUUUUCUAAAAUUUCCGAUUUCAAAAGACAUUUACGGACGCAUUCACAAGAGAAACUGUUUACAUGCGAGUUUUGCAAGAAAGCCUUUUCCAGCAACGGGAAUUUAAAAGUA
Argiope bruennichi is the source of this 1152-nucleotide long non-coding RNA. RefSeq lists it as uncharacterized. The record is from RefSeq and is a predicted model, not a curated record. Lineage: Eukaryota; Metazoa; Arthropoda; Arachnida; Araneae; Araneidae. The transcript is spliced from 3 exons.